AGUGAACGCUGGCGGUAGGCCUAACACAUGCAAGUCGAACGGCAGCACAGGAGAGCUUGCUCUCUGGGUGGCGAGUGGCGGACGGGUGAGGAAUACAUCGGAAUCUACUCUGUCGUGGGGGAUAACGUAGGGAAACUUACGCUAAUACCGCAUACGACCUACGGGUGAAAGCAGGGGACCUUCGGGCCUUGCGCGAUUGAAUGAGCCGAUGUCGGAUUAGCUAGUUGGCGGGGUAAAGGCCCACCAAGGCGACGAUCCGUAGCUGGUCUGAGAGGAGGAGCAGCCACACUGGAACGGAGACACGGUCCAGACUCCUACGGGAGGCAGCAGUGGGGAAUAUUGGACAAUGGGCGCAAGCCUGAUCCAGCCAUACCGCGUGGGUGAAGAAGGCCUUCGGGUUGUAAAGCCCUUUUGUUGGGAAAGAAAUCCAGCUGGCUAAUACCCGGUUGGGAUGACGGUACCCAAAGAAUAAGCACCGGCUAACUUCGUGCCAGCCGCCACGGUAA
Molecule: ribosomal RNA, 506 nt
Filed under: uncultured bacterium
Lineage: Bacteria
Description: partial 16S ribosomal RNA
Rfam family: Bacterial small subunit ribosomal RNA
Source: RNAcentral